Camelina sativa (false flax) is the source of this 834-nucleotide long non-coding RNA. RefSeq lists it as uncharacterized. Lineage: Eukaryota; Viridiplantae; Streptophyta; Magnoliopsida; Brassicales; Brassicaceae. The record is from RefSeq and is a predicted model, not a curated record.
AAAAAUAUUAAUUCAACUUUCCGACGAUUCUCUAAUUCUUUCUGUUACCAAUCUCGGCGCCGCCGGCGAUGGUAUCAACUAUGAUUCUUCUGCAAUCAGUCAACCAUCGACGCUUGCAAUCGUCACUAGUCAUCGUCUUCCUCCAUCUGCGGUGUCGUUUUCCGUUACAGCACCUAUUUGACCGCCAAGCUCCAUCUCCGAUCUUGCGUCGUCGUUCUCGAUGUGACGGAGAACCCAAUGAUUCUCGGUGGGCCAAGGAUCGAGAGUUAUUAUCCAGUGGAGAAUUUUUUGGGUUGAUAUCACCGAUGUGGAGCGAUUGAUGGUAGGGAUCACAGUCAGAUUCGAUUAUAAGAAGAACGUGAUGCUUGCACAUUGUGAGGUGCGAGAACACACAAGUCCUCGAUGUAUCCACCCUUGGGGACUUCAACACUCCAAAUAAAGAUUGAAUCGACAUUGAAGAUUCAACACUGUUAUAAUAAGAUGGAUUCUACUAAAGAUGGUUGGAUGACUCUCGAUGGGAAUUGAAUGUUUCUGCACUACAAGAGUGUCAGAUGUUUCUACUGGACAAGUUAAUUGUUGUUGCAGUAACUGUGAUUGAGUUUGCUAUAUGUUCUCUUUAAUCUCAAGAAAAUUCAAGAAGAAUCAUGUGAAAUUCAUGAAAGAUUUCUUGAAUUUCAGGAUGACAUUCAUAAAAGUUUAGAAUUCAUGAUGAACCUUAGGAAGACCUUCAUAAAAAAUCUAGACAUCAGUAAACACAAGGGUGAGGCUUUUAACGUAUCUACUCACCUGAUCCCAAGUCUUGUCUCUGGACAAAAGUGUAUGCUGGUUUGCUUA